Non-coding RNA from Arabidopsis thaliana (thale cress), 167 nucleotides. The record is from RefSeq. NCBI's taxonomy places the organism in Eukaryota, Viridiplantae, Streptophyta, Magnoliopsida, Brassicales, Brassicaceae.
CAACAACACGAAGAAGAAGAUGAAGGUACUUGAUGAUGAACGGGUAAUCUGCAUCCUGAGGUUUAAAACCAAUUAAGCAUAUACAUAUGCGAAUGUAUAGUUUUUAAUCCUCGGGAUACAGUUUACCUCUUCCUUACUCAAGAAAACACUUAGCUUUAACGGUUUUG